Molecule: ribosomal RNA, 681 nt
Filed under: Pontibacillus sp. SP74
Lineage: Bacteria; Bacillati; Bacillota; Bacilli; Caryophanales; Bacillaceae
Description: bacterial SSU rRNA
Rfam family: Bacterial small subunit ribosomal RNA
Source: RNAcentral
GUGCCUAAUACAUGCAAGUCGAGCGCAGGAAGCAACAUGAACCCUUCGGGGGGAUUGUUGUGGAAUGAGCGGCGGACGGGUGAAUAACACGUGGGUAACCUACCCACAAGAUCGGGAUAACUCCGGGAAACCGGGGCUAAUACCGAAUAAUCCUUUGAACCGCAUGGUUCAGAGGUAAAAGACGGUUUCGGCUGUCACUUGUGGAUGGACCCGCGGCGCAUUAGCUAGUUGGUGAGGUAACGGCUCACCAAGGCGACGAUGCGUAGCCGACCUGAGAGGGUGAUCGGCCACACUGGGACUGAGACACGGCCCAGACUCCUACGGGAGGCAGCAGUAGGGAAUCUUCCGCAAUGGACGAAAGUCUGACGGAGCAACGCCGCGUGAGUGAUGAAGGUUUUCGGAUCGUAAAGCUCUGUUGUUAGGGAAGAACAAGUACCAGAGUAACUGCUGGUACCUUGACGGUACCUAACCAGAAAGCCCCGGCUAACUACGUGCCAGCAGCCGCGGUAAUACGUAGGGGGCAAGCGUUGUCCGGAAUUAUUGGGCGUAAAGCGCGCGCAGGCGGUUCCUUAAGUCUGAUGUGAAAGGCCACGGCUCAACCGUGGGAGGCCAUUGGAAACUGGGGAACUUGAGUGCAGAAGAGGAGAGUGCAUUUCCAAGUGUAGCGGUGAAAUGCGUAGA